GACGAACGCUGGCGGCGUGCUUAACACAUGCAAGUCGAACGGAAAGGCCCUGCUUUUGUGGGGUGCUCGAGUGGCGAACGGGUGAGUAACACGUGAGUAACCUGCCCUUGACUUUGGGAUAACUUCAGGAAACUGGGGCUAAUACCGGAUAGGCGCUCCUGCUGCAUGGUGGGGGUUGGAAAGUUUCGGCGGUUGGGGAUGGACUCGCGGCCUAUCAGCUUGUUGGUGGGGUAGUGGCUUACCAAGGCUUUGACGGGUAGCCGGCCUGAGAGGGUGACCGGCCACAUUGGGACUGAGAUACGGCCCAGACUCCUACGGGAGGCAGCAGUGGGGAAUAUUGCACAAUGGGCGGAAGCCUGAUGCAGCAACGCCGCGUGCGGGAUGACGGCCUUCGGGUUGUAAACCGCUUUCGCCUGUGACGAAGCGUGAGUGACGGUAAUGGGUAAAGAAGCACCGGCUAACUACGUG
This 468-nucleotide ribosomal RNA is filed under the name uncultured bacterium. RNAcentral's name for it is "partial 16S ribosomal RNA". It matches the Rfam family "Bacterial small subunit ribosomal RNA", at positions 28 to 507 of the family's 1533-position model. The record is from RNAcentral.